UACAGAGGUCCCGAGCGUUGUUCGGAUUCAUUGGGCGUAAAGGGUGCGUAGGCGGCCUGCUGCGUCGGUGCUGAAAGCGCCCGGCUUAACCGGGCGAGGCGUGCCGAUACGAGCGGGCUGGAGCCUUGGCGAGGGUGGCGGAACUCCUGGUGUAGUGGUGAAAUGCGUAGAGAUCAGGAAGAACACCCGUGGCGCAAGCGGCCACCUGGCCAAGAGCUGACGCUGAGGCACGAGAGCGUGGGGAGCGAACCGG
RNAcentral lists this ribosomal RNA (253 nucleotides) under uncultured bacterium. RNAcentral's name for it is "partial 16S ribosomal RNA". It matches the Rfam family "Bacterial small subunit ribosomal RNA", at positions 524 to 776 of the family's 1533-position model. The record is from RNAcentral.